This 406-nucleotide ribosomal RNA is filed under the name uncultured bacterium. RNAcentral describes it as "partial 16S ribosomal RNA". It matches the Rfam family "Bacterial small subunit ribosomal RNA", at positions 29 to 526 of the family's 1533-position model. The record is from RNAcentral.
CUUGAAAGCUGGCGGCAGGCCUAACCCAUGCAAGUCGAACGAGUGGCGGACGGGUGAGUACUGUCUGGGGAACUGCCCGAUGGAGGGGGAUAACUCCUGGAACCGGUAGCUAAUACCGCAUACCAUCGGAUGUGCCCAGGUGGGAUUAGCUAGUAGGGGGGGUAAAGGCGUACCUAGGCGACGUUCCCUCGCUGGUCUGAGAGGAUGACCAGCCACACGGUAACUGAGAUACGGUCAAGACUCCGACGGGAGGCAGCAGUGGGGAAUAGUGCACAAGGGGCGCAAGCCUGAUACAGCCAUGCCGCGUGUAUGAAGAAGGCCUUCGGGUUUUAAAGUACGUGCAGCGAGGAGGCGUUACUCGCAGAAGAAGCACCGGCUAACGCCGUGCCAGCAGCCGCGGUAAUUC